AUAUGAUCAGUGUUCUCUCCACAGUGACUGAAAAAUCUGACUCUAACCAUGGAAUGGAGCUGGAUCUUUCUCUUCCUGCUCUCAGUUAAUGCAGGUGUCCACUCCCAGAUCCAUCUGCAGCAAUCUGGGGCUGAGCUGGCAAGACCUGGGUCAUCAGUGAAGAUAUCCUGCAAGGUUUCUGGCUACACCUUUACCAGCUACAAUAUGUACUGGGUGAAGCAGAGGCCUGGACAGGGUCUGGAAUGGAUUGGAUUGAUUAAUCCUUACAAUGGUUAUACUGAGUACAAUCAGAAGUUCAAAGGCAAGGCCAUAUUGACUGUAGAAAAAUCCUCCAACACAGCCUACAUAGAGCUCAGCAGCCUAACCUCUGAGGACUCUGCGGUCUAUUACUGUGCAAGAGCUGGGGCUAAUUACUAUGCUAUGGAUUUCUGGGGUCCAGGGACUUCAGUCACCGUCUCCUCAGCCAAAACAACACCACCAUCUGUCUAUCCACUGGCCCCUGGGUGUGGACAUACAACUGACUCCUCGGUGACUCUGGGAUGCCUGGUCAAGGGCUAUUUCCCUGAGCCAGUGACCGUGACCUGGAACUCUGGAGCCCUGUCCAGCAAUGUGCACACCUUCCCAGCUGUCCUGCAAUCUGGACUUUACUCCCUCAGCAGCUCAGUGACUGUAUCCUCCAGCACCUGGCCCAGCCAGACCGUCACCUGCAACGUAGACCACCCAGCCAGCAAGACCAAGGUGGACAAGAAAAUUGAUCCCAGAAAACUCACUCAGACUGGUACCUGCCUUCCAUGCCAGGAGUGUCGCAAAUGCCCACCUCCUGAACUCUUGGGUGGACCAUCCAUCUUCAUCUUCCCCCCAAAGCCCAAGGAUGUACUCAUGAUCUCCCUGAACCCCAAGGUCACAUGUGUGGUGGUGGAUGUGAGCGAGGAAGAGCCAGAUGUCCAGGUCAGCUGGUUCGUAAACAAUGUAGAAGUACACACGGCUCAGACGCAGACCCAUGAGGAGCGGUACAACAGUACCUUCCGGGUGGUCAGUGCCCUCCCCAUCCAGCACCAGGACUGGAUGAGUGGCAAGGAGUUCAAAUGCAAGGUCAAAAACAAAGCCCUCCCAGGCCCCGUCGAGAGAAUCAUCUCAAAACCCAAAGGGCUAGUCAGAGAGCCACAGGUAUAUGUCUUGCCUCCACCAGCAGAACAGAUGACCAAGAAAAUGGUCAGUCUGACCUGCAUGGUCACAGGUUUCAUCCCUAAAGAGAUCGAUGUGGAGUGGACAAGCGACGGGCUUAUAGAGCAGAACUACAAGAACACUGAACCACUCCUGGACUCCGAUGGUUCUUACUUCUUAUACAGCAAGCUCGAAGUGGAAAAGAGGAUCUGGGAGCAAAAACGCACCUUCACCUGCUCAGUGGUACACGAGGGUCUGCGCAAUCACCACACGACAAAGAGCAUCUCCCGGUCUCUGGGGCUGGAACUGGAUGAGACCUGUGCUGAGGCCCAGGAUGGGGAGCUGGAUGGGCUCUGGACGACCAUCACCAUCUUCAUCAGCCUCUUCCUGCUCAGUGUGUGCUACAGCGCCUCUGUCACACUCUUCAAGGUGAAGUGGCUCUACUCCUCAGUGGUGGAGCUGAAGCAGACACUCUCCCCUGACUACAGAAACAUGAUUGGGCAGGGAGCCUAGGCCACUUCCUCUGGGACUAGCAAGCUUCCUAGGCCCUGCAGAACCGCAUCCCAUCCUACUGUGCAGCCUAACAUGGAGACCACACUGCCAUCUGACAUCACCACCUUCUAGCCCUAUAACUCUCGGAUUCAGAACUCUCCAUGCUCUCCUUUUUGGAGGACCAUGUGCAAAGCAGGCUUUACCCCAGAUCCAAAAAACACUUCCUCAGCAGUUGCCAGAUAACUAACUGAUUGGGGCCAGAAGAACCAUCUCCUUCCAAACCAGCACCAGGGGAUCUGAGAUCUCAGAAUGUUUGCCUAAGAGGAGCUGGGGGUCCACUUUGCCUGAGGCCAACUGCAUGGGAAUGAGCCCUGGAGUUGGCCUGACCCACACAUUUUUGUCUCAAAUGGGUCUUCCCAGAAAGGGUAACAUUUUCAGAUCCUUGGAAGGAGACAUCUGCUAGGAAGACCAGGGUCACCACAGCCCAAAGGGUCACUCUGACCACCUUCGCACCAGCUAUACUUGGCCAGCUUCCUUCCCGGUACUUCUGUGAACCCUGGGCUGAGGAAAGGGUCUGUAAUCUUCAAACUGUUGAGACGAGCUUCCUGAAGAUGAGGCUCCUUGUGCAGUCAUCUAUUCCUACUACCCACCCAACAUGCUGGAUUCUCAGAUGCAGGAUCCAAUCCACAGACACCAUUGACCACACAACCUCGAGACAAGGCCACUGCCACCUCCACAGAGACUCCAUCCCCACUCUGCAGAGGCAGAAGGACUGCUUUGUGGAGCCUCUGCAAAGCCCUAGCAGGGACAAGUGCAUAGACCACUGAGUACUGGCUAGGUGACCAGGCAAGAAAACCUCCAGGAGAGGGCCCUGAUGAGAAGAUUCCUGUUGGGCUCAAAAAAAUUGGGGCAGGAAAGCAGGAUCAAUUGGCAGAGGUGUGAACAUAUCAUUAGAGGAAAGCCCUGAAUUCACAGGUCUGCCCUGCAGGCCUGACGUCCAGACUACACAUACUACAACAGAAAACAUCAGUUGCAGUGGACGUCUAAGAGGACCAACUUGGAAUACUAGGGCUGCUGUGGCCAGUGGAGAGUAGCCCUGUAUCUAUUUCUCCAUCUAUUUCUUAUUGGUCUCCUCUCGUGA
Non-coding RNA from Mastomys coucha (southern multimammate mouse), 2797 nucleotides. NCBI's taxonomy places the organism in Eukaryota, Metazoa, Chordata, Mammalia, Rodentia, Muridae. The record is from the annotation of a RefSeq genome assembly.